RNAcentral lists this ribosomal RNA (253 nucleotides) under uncultured bacterium. RNAcentral's name for it is "partial 16S ribosomal RNA". It matches the Rfam family "Bacterial small subunit ribosomal RNA", at positions 524 to 776 of the family's 1533-position model. The record is from RNAcentral.
UACGGGGGGGGCAAGCGUUGUUCGGAAUUACUGGGCGUAAAGGGUUCGUAGGUGGCCGACUAAGUCAGACGUGAAAUCCCUCAGCUUAACUGGGGAACUGCGUCUGAUACUGACUGGCUUGAGGACAGGAGAGGAACGCGGAAUUCCAGGUGUAGCGGUGAAAUGCGUAGAUAUCUGGAGGAACACCGGUGGCGAAGGCGGCGUUCUGGACUGUUUCUGACACUGAGGAACGAAAGCCAGGGGAGCAAACGGG